UGCCAGCAGCCGCGGUAAUACGGAGGGGGUUAGCGUUGUUCGGAAUUACUGGGCGUAAAGCGUACGUAGGCGGAUUAAUAAGUUAGAGGUGAAAUCCCGGGGCUCAACCCCGGAACUGCCUCCAAAACUGCCAGUCUAGAGUUCGAGAGAGGUGAGUGGAAUUCCAAGUGUAGAGGUGAAAUUCGUAGAUAUUUGGAGGAACACCAAUUGCGAAGGCAGCUCACUGGGCCGCUAUCGACGCUGAGGAGCAAAAGCUAGGGGAGCAAACAGGAUUAGAUA
This 279-nucleotide ribosomal RNA is filed under the name uncultured bacterium. RNAcentral's name for it is "partial 16S ribosomal RNA". It matches the Rfam family "Bacterial small subunit ribosomal RNA", at positions 506 to 784 of the family's 1533-position model. The record is from RNAcentral.